Molecule: ribosomal RNA, 375 nt
Filed under: uncultured organism
Description: partial 16S ribosomal RNA
Rfam family: Bacterial small subunit ribosomal RNA
Source: RNAcentral
GGGAGUGGCAAGCGUUAUCCGGAAUUAUUGGGCGUAAAGCGUCCGCAGGCGGCCCUACAAGUCUGCUGUUAAAAAGUGGAGCUUAACUCCAUCAUGGCAGUGGAAACUGUUGGGCUUGAGUGUGGUAGGGGCAGAGGGAAUUCCCGGUGUAGCGGUGAAAUGCGUAGAUAUCGGGAAGAACACCAGUGGCGAAGGCGCUCUGCUGGGCCAUCACUGACGCUCAUGGACGAAAGCCAGGGGGAGCGAAAGGGAUUAGAUACCCCUGUAGUCCUGGCCGUAAACGAUGAACACUAGGUGUCGGGGGAAUCGACCCCCCUCCGGUGUCGUAGCCAACGCGUUAAGUGUUCCGCCUGGGGGAGUACGCACGCAAGUGUG